This 253-nucleotide ribosomal RNA is filed under the name uncultured bacterium. RNAcentral's name for it is "partial 16S ribosomal RNA". It matches the Rfam family "Bacterial small subunit ribosomal RNA", at positions 524 to 776 of the family's 1533-position model. The record is from RNAcentral.
UACGGAGGGGGCUAGCGUUAUUCGGAAUUACUGGGCGUAAAGCGCACGUAGGCGGCUUUGUAAGUAAGAGGUGAAAGCCCGGAGCUCAACUCCGGAACUGCCUUUUAGACUGCAUCGCUUGAAUCCAGGAGAGGUGAGUGGAAUUCCGAGUGUAGAGGUGAAAUUCGUAGAUAUUCGCAAGAACACCAGUGGCGAAGGCGGCUUACUGGUCCGGUUCUGACGCUGAGGCGCGAAAGCGUGGGGAGCAAACAGG